Molecule: ribosomal RNA, 253 nt
Filed under: uncultured bacterium
Lineage: Bacteria
Description: partial 16S ribosomal RNA
Rfam family: Bacterial small subunit ribosomal RNA
Source: RNAcentral
UACGAAGGUGGCAAGCGUUACUCGGAAUUACUAGGCGUAAAGGGCAGGUAGGUGGUUCGGUAAGUCUGUUGUGUAAGCUCCCGGCUUAACUGGGAGAGGUCAACAGAAACUACCGGACUUGAGUAUAGGAGAGGGUACUGGAAUUCCCGGUGUAGCGGUGAAAUGCGCAGAGAUCGGGAGGAACACCGGUGGCGAAGGCGGGUCUCUGGGCCGAUACUGACGCUGAGGAGCGAAAGCGUGGGGAGCGAACAGG